Molecule: ribosomal RNA, 497 nt
Filed under: uncultured bacterium
Lineage: Bacteria
Description: partial 16S ribosomal RNA
Rfam family: Bacterial small subunit ribosomal RNA
Source: RNAcentral
GACGAACGCUGGCGGCGUGCCUAAUACAUGCAAGUUGAGCGCUGAAGGUUGGUCCUUGUACCAACUGGAUGAGCAGCGAACGGGUGAGUAACGCGUGGGGAAUCUGCCUUUGAGCGGGGGACAACAUUUGGAAACGAAUGCUAAUACCGCAUAAAAACUUUAAACACAAGUUUUAAGUUUGAAAGAUGCAAUUGCAUCACUCAAAGAUGAUCCCGCGUUGUAUUAGCUAGUUGGUGAGGUAAAGGCUCACCAAGGCGAUGAUACAUAGCCGACCUGAGAGGGUGAUCGGACACAUUGGGACUGAGACACGGCCCAAACUCCUACGGGAGGCAGCAGUAGGGAAUCUUCGGCAAUGGACGAAAGUCUGACCGAGCAACGCCGCGUGAGUGAAGAAGGUUUUCGGAUCGUAAAACUCUGUUGGUAGAGAAGAACGUUGGUGAGAGUGGAAAGCUCAUCAAGUGACGGUAACUACCCAGAAAGGGACGGCUAACUACGUG